AGGGGAAUAGCCUUCCGAAAGGAAGAUUAAUACCGCUUAAUAUGUUUUGAUCGCAUGAUUGAAACAUCAAAGGAUUUUCUUUGGAAAUUCCUCUUUGAUAUGGACGCGCCGCGCAUUAUCUAUUUGGGGGGGUAACGGCCCACCUGCGCAACCAUGCGUAACCGAACUGAGAGGGUGAUCGGCCACAUUGGAACUGAAACACCGUCCAGAAUCCUACGGGGGGCAACAGUGGGGAAUAUUGGGCAAUGGGGGAAACCCAGACCCAGCAACGCCGCGUGAAUGAUGAAGGCCUUCGGGUUGUAAACCUCUGUCAUCUGGGCGAUAAUGACGGUACCAUAGGAGGAAGCCACGGCUAACUACGUGCCACACCCGCGGUAAUACAUAGGUGGCAAGCUUUGUCCGGAUUUACUGGGCGUAAAGGAUGCAUACGCAGACAUUUAACUCAAAUGUGAAAUACCCGAGCUUAACUUGGGUGCUGUUUUUGAAACUGGUUGUCUAGAUGGCAAGAGGAAGUUGUGGAAUUCCUAGUGUAGCGGUGAAAUGCGUAGAAAUUACGAAGAACACCAUGGGCGAAUGCGACUUACUGGACUGUUACUGACUGCUGACGCGUGAAAGCGUGGGGAACAAACAAGAUUAUAUACCCCUGGUACUCCCCCCAUA
Molecule: ribosomal RNA, 660 nt
Filed under: Clostridium tagluense
Lineage: Bacteria; Bacillati; Bacillota; Clostridia; Eubacteriales; Clostridiaceae
Description: bacterial SSU rRNA
Rfam family: Bacterial small subunit ribosomal RNA
Source: RNAcentral